AUGUACGAUAUGCUCACGCCGGAGCACCGGAGGCAGAUCGCGAAGGAGAUCCAAUCAAGGCGCGCCGCCCGCAUAGUUCUCGGGCUGCCUUCGAACUUACCGGAGCCGGAGGAGAAGCAGGGGCAGCAGCCGGAGGAGGAGGAGGGGGAGGAGGAGGAGGAGGAGGGAGAGCAGCUCCCGGAGCCGAUGAAGGUGGCAGAUCCGGAGGAGGCCAAGGCGGAGCAGCCUGCUUCGGGGUUCAUCAUGGCAGAGGCGGAGGCGGAGUUCGCAGUCGUCCAAGCCACGGUGAUGGCAGAGCAGCAUGCUAUUCUGGAGUCCAUCCAAAAUGAGGUCUAUGUGGAGGCCAACUGGCAGUUCCUCCGGCUGGAGCAGACAGCGACCGACGUGCUCUUCGUCGAACUUGACACAGAGAUAGAGGAGGAGGAUGCCGGAGCGAAGGAGCCGGAGCUGCAGCUGCCGUCUAUGUACCCGGAGGCAGGACAGAGAUAG
Molecule: ribosomal RNA, 489 nt
Filed under: Triticum aestivum (bread wheat)
Lineage: Eukaryota; Viridiplantae; Streptophyta; Magnoliopsida; Poales; Poaceae
Description: partial small subunit ribosomal RNA
Source: RNAcentral